Molecule: long non-coding RNA, 582 nt
Organism: Brienomyrus brachyistius
Lineage: Eukaryota; Metazoa; Chordata; Actinopteri; Osteoglossiformes; Mormyridae
Exons: 4
Source: RefSeq, a predicted model, not a curated record
CGCUUAUUGAAUACGCUUUACCUGUUUUGACAUUUGAAAGUUGAUUUGAAAGUCGCCUUGGAAUAAAUUCGAUUCACAAAUACCGUCAAAUUCAUCAGCUUUAAUUUCGCAUCGCGAUGCUGCAAUGACCGUUUGACCGUUUUAGUUUCAGGGGCAGCCAGGUGUCCCUGUGAUAAGCGCUGCCCCACACCUCCAGGAGCAGAGUUCCGUACGUGAUGUUUGUCGUGUUCUCCAAAUGUCUUCGUGGAGGUUCCUUUAGGACUCCGGUUUCCUCGCCCCCUCUCCCAGUUCAAAAACAUGUCUUGUCUCUAGUUCUAUGCUGUCGACAUGGUUCCUGUGUCCCAGCCAGGCAAACAGACACUCCCCCAUAGAGCUCUCGCAGCCAUGCGGGAUCCUUCAGCGAGGGCUCGUCAUGCCAGGAAGAGAGGGCGGGGCUGUUCUGUACAGGAAGGGACACUGGCUGCGCAUCACCUGGAUGCUAUGCCAUGCUCCUCCCUGCCCCAUCCAUGUGUCUGCACUGGUGUUUCCAAAAGCAGAAAUCUUUCACACUGAUAACUGGGUUCAGUAAAAAAUGUGCAGGGC